CAAUAGCGUAUAUUUAAGUUGCUGCAGUUAAAAGCUCGUAGUUGGAUUUCGGGUGGGAAUGGCCGGUCCGCCGUUUCGGUGUGCACUUGCUACGCCCACCUUGCUGCCGGGGACGUGCUCUUGAGUUCACGCUCGGGACACGGAGUCGGCGAGGUUACUUUGAGUAAAUUAGAGUGUUCAAAACAGGCCUACGCUCUGAAUACAUUAGCAUGGAAUAACACGAUAGGACUCUGGCCUAUCUUGUUGGUCUGUAGGACCGGAGUAAUGAUUAAGAGGGACAGUCGGGGGCACUCGUAUUUCAUUGUCAGAGGUGAAAUUCUUGGAUUUAUGAAAGACGAACUACUGCGAAAGCAUUUGCCAAGGAUGUUUUCAUUAA
RNAcentral lists this ribosomal RNA (376 nucleotides) under uncultured eukaryote. RNAcentral's name for it is "partial 18S ribosomal RNA". It matches the Rfam family "Eukaryotic small subunit ribosomal RNA", at positions 592 to 976 of the family's 1831-position model. The record is from RNAcentral.